This 86-nucleotide transfer RNA is filed under the name Yamadazyma jaroonii. Its description in RNAcentral is "[Candida] jaroonii transfer RNA-Ser(GCT)". It matches the Rfam family "tRNA". Rfam says of the family: Transfer RNA (tRNA) molecules are approximately 80 nucleotides in length. Their secondary structure includes four short double-helical elements and three loops (D, anti-codon, and T loops). The record is from RNAcentral. Lineage: Eukaryota; Fungi; Ascomycota; Pichiomycetes; Serinales; Debaryomycetaceae.
GUCACAGUGGCCGAGUGGUUUUAAGGCGAUGCCCUGCUAUUAGGCAUUGGGAAUUUCCUGCGCAGGUUCGAAUCCUGUCUGUGACG